CGAGGCCCGUGGGCGGCUCGCUCCGGGGAGCGGGGGGAGGCGGCGGGAGGAGCCGCUCCGAUCCGUUUUUCUUUCGCAGGUGGAUUUUCGCGAAGGCGCCUGCGCUGUACGGAGCCCCGCAGAGCGGCGGUGCUGGCGGGGAGGCAGGAGCGGGAUGUUCCCGGGGGCGAGUUCGCCUGCUGCGGGCUUGUGGCUGCCUUCACUCUGAGCAAGGCUGAAGUUAUGUUAACGUAGCUUCUGAAGAGGAAAGUGAGCCAAGAUCCCCACCCCGCUCUUUGGCUUGGAGAAUCCUUGCUCUGAAGGAAACUCUCUAAAGUUCAUCUGAAGCCUCUCCACUUCCUGCAGUGUGGAAGAAAGAGAAGACUGUUUUACCUCUGAACCAGAGUUUCCUGUUUACCAGAAAGAAGAGAGAGCGCUAUUUUAUCUUUCUUUCAGGUCUUCCAGCUGCUGAAGGAUGACUAUAUAUAGGCAUCCCUCCACCCUUCCUACUGGCAGCAGUAGGAAGACAGAGGUUUCUGCUGUUCUCUUCCAUGAAACUCCUGCCUGUGAAUAACUCCAAGGCUUUUGCUAGUACCACUGCUCCUGGUCAGUGCUUUCCCCAGGACCAGAUGUAGUGUAGAGUCAACAUAACGCUUGACAGAGAGAUAUGUUGUCUAUGGUUUCCUCAGGGAGACUGAUGAAACUAAGCCACCUAUACAUUUCAUUGUGUUGUUGUAUGACAGCAUUUGAACAGCAGCAGUGAAAGUGGAGCUGAUGGCAGGUGUACAACAAUACAUCAAUUCACCUUUGGAAUAUUAGCUUUGCAAGUGCAAAGAUCAGAAGCAUUUCAGACUGCUGCCUUAAAUUUUACUGAAAUUAAGAGUUUUCAGAUGAGAAUUGGCCAUGACAUGCAAAAUUCUGAGUGAUUUCUUUGCAAGGCAAGGCAUCUACUACAGUCUCUGGAAGGGAAGAGGGUCAUAGCCUAAACUGAAAUGCACUGAAACAGUUAUCCUGUGCCUGCUAAAAAAAUUAUAAACUCUCUGGGCUAAAAAAAACAUGUUUGAGAAAGGUAUGUAAAUGUAAUUAAAGAUUUUAUCAGAACUGUAAUGUUUGUUCUUGAUGCUUGAAAGUGCAACCUAUUUUUCAGAUCAUGUGGAUUUUCUUUAAUUAUACUAAUUAAGCCUCCUCUACAGAUAUGACAGCAUACCUGCUGUUCAGUUUUUAAAUCUGAGUUUUACCAUAAGAUAUUAUGCAUGAGGGAAUUGAUUCUGAAUUCAUGUAUGUCAAUAUAAAAUUCCAGCAGCUCCACUAAAGUGAGUAGCAUGACCCCAGUUCUUGCCAGAAUAACUUUAAAUCAUGUCUGGUUCAUUGUAUCAAUGUUAAUUCACUUAUUACACCCUCUAUUCUACAAAUAAUAUCUGAAUCUGACUUGAAAUCAAUAAAGUUUUUCAGUAGGAUUCCUCCUGAACUGCA
Molecule: long non-coding RNA, 1452 nt
Filed under: Dromaius novaehollandiae (emu)
Lineage: Eukaryota; Metazoa; Chordata; Aves; Casuariiformes; Dromaiidae
Description: lncRNA (ENSDNVG00000003411.1)
Source: RNAcentral